CAUACAUGUUGGGAAGCUGGAGUUUUGGUUUCUGUGGGGCUGCUUUUCUUGUCUCUAGUUAUCCACUAGAUGGAGCCAGGAAGCUGUGUUGUCCAGAGGGCGGUCUCAGGUGUUCAGCCAUCACACCUGCAGCCUAUCUGUCAUCAGCCAGUGUUUAAGAGAAGCCUGUCACCAGUCCUUCGAUGCCUGAGUGUUGCCGUUCAUGGUUCUCAGCGGCUGUUACCUUUGUGCCUUAUGAGUUUUAUCGUUUCACCUCCAAGAUUCUUCAUAAAGAAACCCCUGGUUCAUAAAUCCCUACGACUGGUUCUUCUGGCUGUUCAAGUCUGUGCUACAACCUGUCCGCCCUCCAAUGAAGUACAACUAACAAACCCUCAUCGCCGCCCAUUCUCUCUGGAUCUCCUGGCUUCAGUUCCAACCCCACCUGGACCCGACACUCACCCUAGAAACCAAGUUCAGCACCAGCAGAAUACCUCCCCCUGGUGGAUCAGUUCCAUUUCACUAAAUCCAGAUCUCCAGCUGUCCCAUACCCCGGGCAAAGAAGAUACAUUCAAACUCUUUUUACAAUAAACUUUAUUUAACUGACA
Long non-coding RNA from Xiphophorus couchianus (Monterrey platyfish), 584 nucleotides. RefSeq lists it as uncharacterized. The record is from RefSeq and is a predicted model, not a curated record. Lineage: Eukaryota; Metazoa; Chordata; Actinopteri; Cyprinodontiformes; Poeciliidae. The transcript is spliced from 2 exons.